RNAcentral lists this ribosomal RNA (465 nucleotides) under uncultured bacterium. RNAcentral's name for it is "partial 16S ribosomal RNA". It matches the Rfam family "Bacterial small subunit ribosomal RNA", at positions 28 to 507 of the family's 1533-position model. The record is from RNAcentral.
GACGAACGCUGGCGGCGUGCUUAACACAUGCAAGUCGAACGGAAAGGCCCUGCUUGCAGGGUACUCGAGUGGCGAACGGGUGAGUAACACGUGGGUGAUCUGCCCUGCACUUCGGGAUAAGCCUGGGAGACUGGGUCUAAUACCGGAUAGGAGCCAUUUUUAGUGUGAUGGUUGGAAAGUUUUUUCGGUGUAGGAUGAGCUCGCGGCCUAUCAGCUUGUUGGUGGGGUAAUGGCCUACCAAGGCGGCGACGGGUAGCCGGCCUGAGAGAGUGGACGGCCACAUUGGGACUGAGAUACGGCCCAGACUCCUACGGGAGGCAGCAGUGGGGAAUAUUGCACAAUGGGCGCAAGCCUGAUGCAGCGACGCCGCGUGGGGGAUGACGGCCUUCGGGUUGUAAACUCCUUUCGCUAGGGACGAAGCUUUUUGUGACGGUACCUAGAUAAGAAGCACCGGCUAACUACGUG